Molecule: non-coding RNA, 598 nt
Organism: Pimephales promelas (fathead minnow)
Lineage: Eukaryota; Metazoa; Chordata; Actinopteri; Cypriniformes; Leuciscidae
Source: RefSeq, a predicted model, not a curated record
GGAGCCGAAAAUGGUUAAGCUUAACUUCCCUUAACUUUUCCCAUUCAUUCUCUAUGGUAGUGCUUAACACUACGGAUGCAAUCUACUUUUGGCCACACGUAGACUUCCCGGCGCUGUUUCGCUUUUCCGUGGCGGGGAAUUUAAAAAGCGAAGCGUCAUCUGUCAACCCGUUUUAUUACCGGAGAGAUAUUUGUUUACCGACUUGUCAGCAAACUUGUUUCGUUUUGUCUAAACUACCUGCAGACAGACUUUAACUCAGUAAUGGAGGAGGAAGAAGAACUGGAAAGUUUUUCUCCAACAAAAUAUCUCACACAGCUGAGCUCAUCUGCAGCCACAGGAUCCACAGUCUUAUUUACAACAGGUUUGAAUAUACCAGUGGUGAAGCUCCUCCAACAACAUCGGCUUUGCACCAUCUCACGCAGCACAAUCAGCCUCUACACCUGCACCAAUGCUGUCUGCACUCACUGAAACCCCUGUUCCCAGCUACUUGAACACAAAAGUAAAGACGUGCAUUACACACGUGUAUUAAAUGUGUUAUUCACGCAUAUACAAUAUUAUACAUAUUAAUGCACUUUUAAUAUAUAUAUACAGUGGUGUG